Molecule: ribosomal RNA, 273 nt
Filed under: uncultured Acinetobacter sp.
Lineage: Bacteria; Pseudomonadati; Pseudomonadota; Gammaproteobacteria; Moraxellales; Moraxellaceae
Description: partial 16S ribosomal RNA
Rfam family: Bacterial small subunit ribosomal RNA
Source: RNAcentral
UACAGAGGGUGCGAGCGUUAAUCGGAUUUACUGGGCGUAAAGCGUGCGUAGGCGGCUUUUUAAGUCGGAUGUGAAAUCCCCGAGCUUAACUUGGGAAUUGCAUUCGAUACUGGGAAGCUAGAGUAUGGGAGAGGAUGGUAGAAUUCCAGGUGUAGCGGUGAAAUGCGUAGAGAUCUGGAGGAAUACCGAUGGCGAAGGCAGCCAUCUGGCCUAAUACUGACGCUGAGGUACGAAAGCAUGGGGAGCAAACAGGAUUAGAAACCCCAGUAGUCC